GAGUUUGAUCCUGGCUCAGGAUGAACGCUGGCGGCGUGCUUAACACAUGCAAGUCGAACGAACCUUCGGGUUAGUGGCGGACGGGUGAGUAACGCGUGAGAAUCUACCCUCAGGAGGGGGAUAACGGUUGGAAACGACCGCUAAUACCCCAUAUGCCGAUAGGUGAAAUGAAUUUCGCCUGAGGAUGAGCUCGCGUCUGAUUAGCUUGUUGGUGAGGUAAUGGCUCACCAAGGCUUCGAUCAGUAGCUGGUCUGAGAGGAUGAUCAGCCACACUGGGACUGAGACACGGCCCAGACUCCUACGGGAGGCAGCAGUGGGGAAUUUUCCGCAAUGGGCGAAAGCCUGACGGAGCAACGCCGCGUGAGGGACGAAGGCCUCUGGGCUGUAAACCUCUUUUCUCAAGGAAGAAGAUAUGACGGUACUUGAGGAAUAAGCCACGGCUAAUUCCGUGCCAGCAGCCGCGGUAAUACGGGAGUGGCAAGCGUUAUCCGGAAUUAUUGGGCGUAAAGCGUCCGCAGGCGGCCUUUCAAGUCUGCUGUUAAAGCGUGGAGCUUAACUCCAUUAUGGCAGUGGAAACUGAUCGGCUUGAGUAUGGUAGGGGCAGAGGGAAUUCCCGGUGUAGCGGUGAAAUGCGUAGAUAUCGGGAAGAACACCAGUGGCGAAGGCGCUCUGCUGGGCCACUACUGACGCUCAUGGACGAAAGCCAGGGGAGCGAAAGGGAUUAGAUACCCCUGUAGUCCUGGCCGUAAACGAUGAACACUAGGUGUCGGGGGAAUCGACCCCUUCGGUGUCGUAGCUAACGCGUUAAGUGUUCCGCCUGGGGAGUACGCACGCAAGUGUGAAACUCAAAGGAAUUGACGGGGGCCCGCACAAGCGGUGGAGUAUGUGGUUUAAUUCGAUGCAACGCGAAGAACCUUACCAGGGUUUGACAUCCUGAGAACCUCUUAGAAAUUUGAGGGUGCCUUCGGGAAUUCAGUGACAGGUGGUGCAUGGCUGUCGUCAGCUCGUGUCGUGAGAUGUUGGGUUAAGUCCCGCAACGAGCGCAACCCACGUUUUUAGUUGCCAGCAUUUAGUUGGGCACUCUAGAAAGACCGCCGGUGAUAAACCGGAGGAAGGUGUGGAUGACGUCAAGUCAUCAUGCCCCUUACACCCUGGGCUACACACGUACUACAAUGCUACGGACAAAGGGCAGCAAACUCGCGAGAGCUAGCAAAUCCCAUAAACCGUGGCUCAGUUCAGAUCGUAGGCUGCAACUCGCCUACGUGAAGUAGGAAUCGCUAGUAAUCGCAGGUCAGCAUACUGCGGUGAAUACGUUCCCGGGCCUUGUACACACCGCCCGUCACACCAUGGAAGUUGGCCAUGCCCGAAGUCGUUACUCCAACCCUUGUGGAGGAGGACGCCGAAGGUGGGGCUAAUGACUGGGGUGAAGUCGUAACAAGGUAACC
Molecule: ribosomal RNA, 1445 nt
Filed under: uncultured marine cyanobacterium
Lineage: Bacteria; Bacillati; Cyanobacteriota
Description: bacterial SSU rRNA
Rfam family: Bacterial small subunit ribosomal RNA
Source: RNAcentral